GCAGCGUGCAUACACAUGCAAGUCGAACGAUGAAGUAUUCUUCGGAAUGCGGAAGAGUGGCGAACGGGUGAGGAACACGUAAGAAUCUGCCCCUCGGUCGGGGACAACUCUUGGAAACGAGAGCUAAUACCCGAUACGCUGUGGAGUGAAAGAAUUUCGCCGAGGGAUGAUCUUGCGUCUGAUUAGCUAGUUGGUGUGGUAAUGGCAUACCAAGGCGACGAUCAGUANCUGGUCUGAGAGGAUGGACAGCCACAUUGGAACUGAGACACGGUCCAAACUCCUACGGGAGGCAGCAGUGGGGAAUUUUCCGCAAUGGACGCAAGUCUGACGGAGCGACGCUGCGUGAAGGAUGACGGCCCGCGGGUUGUAAACUUCUUUUCUCGAAGAAGAAACAAAUGACGGUAUUCGAGGAAUAAGCAUCGGCUAACUCCGUGCCACCAGCCGCGGUAAGACGGAGGAUGCAAGUGUUAUU
RNAcentral lists this ribosomal RNA (472 nucleotides) under uncultured bacterium. RNAcentral's name for it is "bacterial SSU rRNA". It matches the Rfam family "Bacterial small subunit ribosomal RNA", at positions 39 to 545 of the family's 1533-position model. The record is from RNAcentral.